This 213-nucleotide unclassified non-coding RNA is filed under the name Hevea brasiliensis (rubber tree). The record is from RNAcentral. Lineage: Eukaryota; Viridiplantae; Streptophyta; Magnoliopsida; Malpighiales; Euphorbiaceae.
CGGAGUACGUUUCAGCUACUGGAAGAGUGGCCGCGCAAUUAAGCAGGCAGACUUAGAUGGUGACGGUUUCAUUGGCGAGGAUGAGAUUGAUAACCUUGUGGAGUUUGCGAAGAAGAGCCUGGGACUGAAUAUCGUCGCCUACUAGCGAGCUUCGUGCGCGAAGCUGGCCGUAACCCCUUUGAUGCAGUACCGGUGUAGCAUGUGGGUGUUUAC